UAGAGUUUUGAUCAUGGCUCAGAUUGAAAGCUGGCGGCAGGCCUAACACAUGCAAGUCGAGGGCAGCACGGGUACUUGUACCUGGUGGCGAGCGGCGGACGGGUGAGUAAUACCUAGGAAUCUGCCUGGUAGUGGGGGAUAACGUUCGGAAACGGACGCUAAUACCGCAUACGUCUACGGGAGAAAGCAGGGGGACUUCGGCCUUGCGCUAUCAGAUGAGCCUAGGUCGGAUUAGCUAGUUGGUGAGGUAAUGGCUCACCAAGGCUACGAUCCGUAACUGGUCUGAGAGGAUGAUCAGUCACACUGGAACUGAGACACGGUCCAGCCCCUACGGGAGGCAGCAGUGGGGAAUAUUGGACAAUGGCGAAAGCCUGAUCCAGCAUGCCGCGUGUGUGAAGAAGGUCUUCGGAUUGUAAAGCACUUUAAGUUGGGAGGAAGGGCCGUUACCUAAUCGUGAUGGCUCUGCGUACGACAGAAUAACGC
Molecule: ribosomal RNA, 483 nt
Filed under: Pseudomonas sp. HA-OP15
Lineage: Bacteria; Pseudomonadati; Pseudomonadota; Gammaproteobacteria; Pseudomonadales; Pseudomonadaceae
Description: bacterial SSU rRNA
Rfam family: Bacterial small subunit ribosomal RNA
Source: RNAcentral